GGAUUUAGAGCAGGAGGACUGGAGAUUGACAACAAACCUCGAGCUCCUCUUCUUUUUCUCUGAAUCGAGCUCUCCGCUGGCGACGUAUGCCACAAUCUUCUUGGAAUCACGCCCGGCCGCCAUCUGAAGCAUGCGAUGGAUGUCCGAACCCUAACCCCGUGGCCGCCUCCCCGGCCGUCGAUGUAUCCGGCGCGCUGCUCCUGGUCCUUGGCUAUCUCCGCCUGCCGGAGUGGUUGGCCUUCCAGGGCGUCUCGCGCCUCUUCAGGGACUCGGUCUCGCUGGACAUCUUGCUUUGGCGGCGCGUCGCGAUCGAGCGCCUUUGAGCUCGCGGCUUACUGACGAAGCCCUCGUCCGUAUCACGUCGAGGGCCGAUGGGAAGUUGGAGGCUUUAUCAAUCCUGGAUUGCUGGAAGGUCACCGACGAUGGGCUCAUGCAGGUUGUGAAUCGAAAUCGAGGCAUCACCAAGCUUCAUGUACCUGGAUGCAUGCAACUAAGUGCUGAUGGUGUAGUGAGAAUACUAAAGUGGCAUUAUGAGCUAAAAGGCCGGUUGAAGAUACUAAAAUAGGAUCGCUUUUUAGGAAUUUGAAAUGAAAAUCUGAGCUAGUGCUUGGAGUCUUAUUUCCCUCUAGAAAGAUUACAAACUUAAGCUUAAGAGCUGAGACAGACUAGGAAUAAACAACUUAGUGUUGUUCAAGUGUGUCUAAACCUCGUACUCGCUCUUUCUUAUAUAGGCAGAGGAAAGUUGCAGAUAAAAUCAAAGCGGGUGCUUAUUGGGCCCCAUCGUCCUUUGAUUCUCUACCUUUUGUCUGUCAUUUACAAACUUUACAGCUAUUCGAAAGGACGGCUUAUAAACUUUACAGCUAAUAAUAUUCGAAAAGAAAAGCUCCCCGAGGCUCAAUCCUUUCUUCUUUAUUAAAGCACUUUUACACAUGUCUUCUUUGGAUGCUUUUGGGCUCACCACUUGCUUUCUUAUUAGGGUGGAGUUUCUUGUAUUAUUCGAAACUCCGCCCUAAUCAGAAAGCAAGUGGUGAGCCCAAAAGUAUCCAAAGAAGACAUAUGUAAAAGUGCUUUUAAUAAAGAAGAAAAGAUUGAGCCUCGGGGAGCCUUCCUUUUCGAAUAUUAUUAACUGUAAAAUUUGUAAGCCGUCCUUUCGAAUAGCUGUAAAGUUUGUAAAUGGCAGACAAAAGGUAGAGAAUCAAAGGACGAUGGGGCCCAAUAAGCACCCGCUUUGAUCUUAUCUACAACUUUUCUCUGCCUAUAUAAGAAAAAACGAGUAAGAGGUUUAGACACACUUGAGCAACACCAAGUUCUUUAUUCCUAGUCUGUCUCAACUCUUAAGUUUGUAAUCUUUCUAGAGGAAAUUAAGACUCCGAGCACUAGCUCAGGUUUUCAUUUCAAAUUCCUAAAAAGCGAUCUUAUUUUGCUCUCCAGAUUCAUGGAAUCCCUAACCUAACAAUCUAUCAUAUUGACGCUCUGAACUUAUUGUUUAAAAAUGAUGUUCUGCAAGUUUCAUAUCCCAUCAACUAUAACAACUGGCCGUCUAACAUCUUCGACGGUGACCGACUGAUAGAUGUUGAUAUUUGCCCAAAGUGCAGUAAUGUUCGAAUAGUUUUUGAUUGUACGAGGGAGAACUGCAGGUCUGGGAAGUCACAAUGGAGAGAAUGCAGAGGUUGUUUCUUUUGCAUUGCAAGGUGCGAAGACUGUGGAGGUUGUUUUGAUUUUUCAAAACUCAGUGAAGAAGCUAUCUGCUCUCACCUUCUCUGCCAGACAUGUUGGCUUCAUCUGCCAAAAUGCAAUGUCUGCAGUCGUCCAUAUUGCAAUAGGGAUUCGAAUAUCCUUGAAGGUUCUUCCAAGUUUCUUGGUUUCCUGUGUGGGCAAUGUAUGGAGUCCACUAGCUCAUCGUAUCAAUCUUACAGUGGAUAAAUUCCUUAAACUUCUGUUAUAUUGACCUGCUUCAAGUAA
This is a long non-coding RNA of Zingiber officinale, 1962 nucleotides long. RefSeq lists it as uncharacterized. NCBI's taxonomy places the organism in Eukaryota, Viridiplantae, Streptophyta, Magnoliopsida, Zingiberales, Zingiberaceae. The record is from RefSeq and is a predicted model, not a curated record. The transcript has 4 exons.